RNAcentral lists this long non-coding RNA (288 nucleotides) under Fukomys damarensis (Damara mole-rat). RNAcentral's name for it is "lncRNA (ENSFDAG00000023522.1)". Lineage: Eukaryota; Metazoa; Chordata; Mammalia; Rodentia; Bathyergidae. The record is from RNAcentral.
UCAGGAUGCAGAAAUCUCACCAGGCUCAAAGAGGACUGGUUGCAUGGGGUCACCCAGGCCAGCAGAGGCUACUGAGGGGCCAGGAUGGCUUCAGGGCCCACAGGGAAGAGCUGGUACAGGUGUGAAAGUUCUGUGGCCUGAAGACACCGCCUGUAGCUGAGGCUUAAGAAGAGACUCUUACUCCUUAUUUCCACCAAAAUGGCCAGCGUCCCUGAAGGCUGAGGACAGUGGAGACGACCCUCUUGGGAGGAACCAUAGCACCUCUUCCUACCCCUUCCCUCAAGGCCC